This is a long non-coding RNA of Orbicella faveolata, 218 nucleotides long. The record is from RefSeq and is a predicted model, not a curated record. Lineage: Eukaryota; Metazoa; Cnidaria; Anthozoa; Scleractinia; Merulinidae.
AGGACGAUCCGUUGCCAGGCUGGACAAAAUCAGGAAGAAGGAUUCAUCAAUGCUCUGAUCCCGAAGGGCGACACAGCCCAGUAGUAGGUGUUGCUUGCCCGAUAUUAUACGAAGGAGAUCCAGGAGAUCCUCAGGAGCCUGAUGUGGAUGCAGCAAUCUUAAUAUUUAUAAUAAUGUAUCUCAUAUUCAAGAUGUAAAUAAAUUUGCUUUCUUUUCUA